RNAcentral lists this long non-coding RNA (2784 nucleotides) under Podarcis lilfordi (Lilford's wall lizard). Lineage: Eukaryota; Metazoa; Chordata; Lepidosauria; Squamata; Lacertidae. The record is from RNAcentral.
GCAGAAGGAGCCUCGUAAGGGGCUCCGGAGCGUGGAGGGGGGUUGCGGCGCUGUGAGCCGUUUCACAGUCAGCGGAGUGAAGCCGCGCUGCUGCUGCCGGUGAGCGCUGAUCCCUUUUCCUGUUAAAAUUCGGACCUGGAAGAAAACAACUUAUUCGUGAGUAAAGACUGAAUCACUUGGAAUUACAAAUUUUAAAUGAGAAGGUUUAACUUGGCUUGAAUUUGGCUGAAAGCGGAGAGACGUGGAAACAGGAAGUCCGUCUUCCGCUGCCAUUGAACUUGAAAAAAAAGCAACUAAGGCGGAGGAGUGGAGGCUGAAAGAAAGAGAUUUUAAACUCUACACAGCCAAGCAUCUAUGGAACUUACAAUUUAAAGUAAAACUAGCAAGUUAAAGAUUUGGAUCUUUUAUUUGCACUUGACUUUCCCCCUUUUAUUGGAUUACAAAUUGGAAGGUGAAACCCAGAGUCAGGAUUGCUUGAGCACUGUAAGAGCGAGCUGCCAGUGUUGAUUUGGAUACUGUAUAUUAGAAGUUGCAACAAUCUGAGGGUAUUGAGACCUUUUAAAUUUGAAACAUUCUUUUUGGAGACAAAUAAGCACUGUCUGCAACAAAGUGAUUACUUUUAAACUCUGCUUAAUACUUAUAUUGGAAGGUUCUGGGACAUUAAAUCAGACUCUGAAAGACAUCUUAAGCUCCCUCUAGAGGAUUGGAUUAAAACAGUGACUUUACAAAUACAUUUACUUUCGAUUCCCUUGUUGUUUGCUUGCUCUGGGCCUUUCUAUUCCUGUGGGAAAAACUCAGUGUGACCUUGACUGAUAGAUAACAUUGGAAUGAGUGGUACAAGAAGAAGAGGAAGAGUUAGACAAACAACUCUAACAACUCUAACCUCAGCCUCGCAGACACGUAGAUCAUCUGUGCCUACUUUGCCCUCAGAAGUACAACUUGAAGAAGCUGUCUUGCCACAGGCAAAAGAGGGAGAGGGUGAAGCAGAGCAGUUACAAUUGGAAGAUAUGGCCUCAGGAGCAUCUGUUUCUGUGCUAGAAAAAUCUUUGAAAAAUUGGAAGCUUUGGACAAGAAAGUAGAUGCGCAAUCAGCAAAGAUUGAUAAAAAUACAGAUUGUCUAAACAAAUUAACUACACAGGUGGGACAGAAUACACAAGCAAUUGGACAGUUGACGGAGGCCUCAGUAGAAAACCGAAAAUUGGCUGAGGAUACCAGACAAAAAUUGGAAAAUUUAGAGCAAGAGGUAAGACCACUCACUAAACAAGUUGGGGAACAUCAGACUUAUCUUUCUAUGAUAGAACUGCGAAAUCGUGAGAAUAAUUUGAGGAUUAGAUCAUUACAAGAGGCAGAAGAAGGAAAUCUAACUGAGUUUUUGACCAAAGAACUUUCCAAGUUCUGGAAUUUGGAAGAAAAGGACUUUAAAAUUGUGUCAGCUUUCAGACUUGGAAGAUUUAUAAAGAAGGAGAGGCCCAGGGAUUGUUUGAUUACAUUGAGAUCGAAGGAGGAAAGGGAUAAGAUUUUGGGUCUACAUUACGAAAAGUCACUGGAGGUUUUGGAUAGAAGAAUUGAGAUAUAUAAAGAUAUCCCAAGACAACUGUUGGACCUUAGAGCCGCCUACUCUGAACUUGCUAAACUAUUAAGGAGCAACGCAAUUCCAUUCAGGUGGGAAUUUCCCCAAGGAUUAUCUUUUACCUUUAGAGCGAGAAAGGUUAAAAUUAGAACAUUGGAAGAGAGAGAUAAAUUUCUGGCUACAUACGGAGAGGACCUACAUAAAGGAAUUGAACUACCUUCCGGGCCUGGGGCAAAGCCAGCAUCAAUACCUCCACCUGGGGAACUUGAAGACCCAGAGAAGACACCACCCCGGGAGAAAUAACCAGACAGAUCCAGGAUGUCUCUGCAACUGUUGAGCUGGAAUAUUAAUGGUUGUAAUAUUCCGGAGAAAAGGAAGAAAAUAUUUCAUAUAUUAAAAAAGAACAAUUGGACAUUAUUUGUUUACAAGAAACACAUGUGACGAGGCUCCACAGAAAAGUGUUAAUAAAUAAAAGAUUGGGCCAGGAAUUUAUUUCGUCGGACAAAGUGAAGAAGAGAGGAGUGGUGAUAUAUGCAAAAGAGAGCCUGUCACCUAAAUUUCUAUUUAAAGAUGAACAUGGAAGGAUUUUGGCUAUUGAGAUACAAUAUCAAGGAGAGAAACUGCUGAUAUUAGGAAUCUAUGCGCCCAAUGAAGGGAAAUCGGAAUUUUACAAGAAGUUGCAGGGGACAAUGCUGGAUCAUCUGGAUUACAACAACAUCAUAAUGAUGGGAGACAUGAACGGGGUCGUGUCAACUAACAUGGACAAGUCGCAAAGUCAAAAUGUCACAAAAGAUGGCAGACUACCUAAACCUUUUUUGAAAUGACUGACAAUAUGGACUUGAUCGACAUUUGGAGAACAAAGAACCCACUAGGUAGAGAAGGAACAUUCUUUUCUGAAGCCCAACUGACCUGGACAAGAAUCGACCAAAUAUGGAUCUCUAGAGGCCUGGCACCUAGGGUUAGAAAAGUGGAAAUCUGCCCAAAGACCUGCUCUGACCACAACGCAGUAAAGAUGGAUAUGACACUACUACCAACUGGAUCCUUUAGAUGGAAGAUGAAUGACAAUUUGUUUAGAGAUCAGGAAAUUACCAAGAAGGCCCAAAAAGUUUUGAAAGACUAUUUCGAGAUAAACAUGAACAAUUCGGUGGAAAAAGAAUCGUCUGGGACGCAAGCAAAGCUGUCAUGAGGGGAUUCCUGAUACAACAGAAUGUAGU